RNAcentral lists this ribosomal RNA (737 nucleotides) under uncultured Staphylococcus sp. RNAcentral's name for it is "bacterial SSU rRNA". It matches the Rfam family "Bacterial small subunit ribosomal RNA", at positions 61 to 780 of the family's 1533-position model. Lineage: Bacteria; Bacillati; Bacillota; Bacilli; Caryophanales; Staphylococcaceae. The record is from RNAcentral.
GUCGAGCGAACGGACGAGAAGCUUGCUUCUCUGAUGUUAGCGGCGGACGGGUGAGUAACACGUGGAUAACCUACCUAUAAGACUGGGAUAACUUCGGGAAACCGGAGCUAAUACCGGAUAAUAUUUUGAACCGCAUGGUUCAAAAGUGAAAGACGGUCUUGCUGUCACUUAUAGAUGGAUCCGCGCUGCAUUAGCUAGUUGGUAAGGUAACGGCUUACCAAGGCAACGAUGCAUAGCCGACCUGAGAGGGUGAUCGGCCACACUGGAACUGAGACACGGUCCAGACUCCUACGGGAGGCAGCAGUAGGGAAUCUUCCGCAAUGGGCGAAAGCCUGACGGAGCAACGCCGCGUGAGUGAUGAAGGUCUUCGGAUCGUAAAACUCUGUUAUUAGGGAAGAACAUAUGUGUAAGUAACUGUGCACAUCUUGACGGUACCUAAUCAGAAAGCCACGGCUAACUACGUGCCAGCAGCCGCGGUAAUACGUAGGUGGCAAGCGUUAUCCGGAAUUAUUGGGCGUAAAGCGCGCGUAGGCGGUUUUUUAAGUCUGAUGUGAAAGCCCACGGCUCAACCGUGGAGGGUCAUUGGAAACUGGAAAACUUGAGUGCAGAAGUGGAAAGUGGAAUUCCAUGUGUAGCGGUGAAAUGCGCAGAGAUAUGGAGGAACGCCAGUGGCGAAGGCGACUUUCUGGUCUGUAACUGACGCUGAUGUGCGAAAGCGUGGGGAUCAAACAGGAUUA